AACACUGUUAACCUGCGGUACCUGCGGAAGGAUCAUUACCGAGUUUACAACUCCCAAACCCCUGUGAACAUACCUAUAUGUUGCCUCGGCGGAUCAGCCCGCGCCCCGUAAAACGGGACGGCCCGCCGCAGGAUCCACAAACUCUGUUUUUAUUGUAACUUCUGAGUAACAAAACAAAUAAAUCAAAACUUUCAACAACGGAUCU
This 205-nucleotide unclassified non-coding RNA is filed under the name soil metagenome. RNAcentral's name for it is "partial contains 5.8S ribosomal RNA, internal transcribed spacer 2, and large subunit ribosomal RNA". The record is from RNAcentral.